This 27-nucleotide non-coding RNA is filed under the name Rattus norvegicus (Norway rat). Lineage: Eukaryota; Metazoa; Chordata; Mammalia; Rodentia; Muridae. The record is from RNAcentral.
UGAGUACCACAACUGUCUGAAUACUUC